This 388-nucleotide ribosomal RNA is filed under the name uncultured bacterium. Its description in RNAcentral is "bacterial SSU rRNA". It matches the Rfam family "Bacterial small subunit ribosomal RNA", at positions 28 to 417 of the family's 1533-position model. The record is from RNAcentral.
GACGAACGCUGGCGGCGUGCUUAACACAUGCAAGUCGAGCGGUAAGGCCCUUUCGGGGGUACACGAGCGGCGAACGGGUGAGUAACACGUGGGUGACCUGCCCUCAGCUCUGGGAUAAGCCUGGGAAACCGGGUCUAAUACUGGAUAUGACUCCAUGACGCAUGUUGUGGGGUGGAAAGCCUUGUGCGGCUGAGGAUGGGCCCGCGGCCUAUCAGCUUGUUGGUGGGGUGANGGCCUACCAAGGCGACGACGGGUAGCCGGCCUGAGAGGGCGACCGGCCACACUGGGACUGAGGCACGGCCCAGACUCCUACGGGAGGCAGCAGUGGGGAAUCUUGCGCAAUGGGCGAAAGCCUGACGCAGCGACGCCGCGUGAGGGAUGACGGCCU